CAGUAGCCGCGGUAAUACAGAGGUCUCAAGCGUUGUUCGGAUUCAUUGGGCGUAAAGGGUGCGUAGGCGGUCGGGUAAGUCGGAUGUGAAAUCCUGGGGCUCAACCUCAGAACUGCAUUCGAUACUGCUUGGCUAGAGGACUGGAGAGGAGACUGGAAUUCACGGUGUAGCAGUGAAAUGCGUAGAUAUCGUGAGGAAGACCAGCGGCGAAGGCGGGUCUCUGGACAGUUCCUGACGCUGAUGCACGAAGGCCAGGGGAGCAAACGGGAUUAGAUACCCGUGUAGUCCCUGUCUCUUAUAC
This 301-nucleotide ribosomal RNA is filed under the name uncultured bacterium. RNAcentral describes it as "partial 16S ribosomal RNA". It matches the Rfam family "Bacterial small subunit ribosomal RNA", at positions 509 to 807 of the family's 1533-position model. The record is from RNAcentral.